Molecule: ribosomal RNA, 486 nt
Filed under: uncultured bacterium
Lineage: Bacteria
Description: partial 16S ribosomal RNA
Rfam family: Bacterial small subunit ribosomal RNA
Source: RNAcentral
AUUGAACGCUGGCGGCAUGCCUUACACAUGCAAGUCGAACGGCAGCACGGGUGCUUGCACCUGGUGGCGAGUGGCGAACGGGUGAGUAAUACAUCGGAACAUGUCCUGUAGUGGGGGAUAGCCCGGCGAAAGCCGGAUUAAUACCGCAUACGAUCUACGGAUGAAAGCGGGGGACCUUCGGGCCUCGCGCUAUAGGGUUGGCCGAUAGCUGAUUAGCUAGUUGGUGGGGUAAAGGCCUACCAAGGCGACGAUCAGUAGCUGGUCUGAGAGGACAACCAGCCACACUGGGACUGAGACACGGCCCAGACUCCUACGGGAGGCAGCAGUGGGGAAUUUUGGACAAUGGGCGAAAGCCUGAUCCAGCAAUGCCGCGUGUGUGAAGAAGGCCUUCGGGUUGUAAAGCACUUUUGUCCGGAAAGAAAUCCUUGGCUCUAAUACAGUCGGGGGAUGACGGUACCGGAAGAAUAAGCACCGGCUAACUACGUG